Molecule: ribosomal RNA, 467 nt
Filed under: uncultured bacterium
Lineage: Bacteria
Description: partial 16S ribosomal RNA
Rfam family: Bacterial small subunit ribosomal RNA
Source: RNAcentral
GACGAACGCUGGCGGCGUGCUUAACACAUGCAAGUCGAACGGAAAGGCCCUGCUUUUGUGGGGUGCUCGAGUGGCGAACGGGUGAGUAACACGUGAGUAACCUGCCCUUGACUUUGGGAUAACUUUAGGAAACUGGGGCUAAUACCGGAUAGGAGCUCCUGCUGCAUGGUGGGGGUUGGAAAGUUUCGGCGGUUGGGGAUGGACUCGCGGCUUAUCAGCUUGUUGGUGGGGUAGUGGCUUACCAAGGCUUUGACGGGUAGCCGGCCUGAGAGGGUGACCGGCCACAUUGGGACUGAGAUACGGCCCAGACUCCUACGGGAGGCAGCAGUGGGGAAUAUUGCACAAUGGGCGGAAGCCUGAUGCAGCAACGCCGCGUGCGGGAUGACGGCCUUCGGGUUGUAAACCGCUUUCGCCUGUGACGAAGCGUGAGUGACGGUAAUGGGUAAAGAAGCACCGGCUAACUACGU